ACGAUUUAAAAAAUAUAUUUCAAUAUGUAUUAUCUGCAUAGGUAAUUGAAAUAUUUUGGGUACAUCUAUGGAGAUACACUUUCCUGGAAUUGUGUGAUGUUUUUAGGUUUGAACAAGAGUACAUUUGAACAACCCAGUUGCAAUUCUGAUCUUGAAAACAGAAAUGUGUGAUCAGAUUAAGUACAUCUAACAGUUCUAAAAGUCUAACAGUUAAAAAUAUUAUCAGUACAAUGUUCUGAGAUUUUCUUUCCAGAGUGAAACACUAAUAUAAUACAACUUUAAAUAAUAACAUACACAGAUUGUCUAUUAUAGAGCAAAGGUGUAUUAGCAAGGAAAACUAAUGCAGUUGCAGGUCACAUUUUUUAAAGAUAAAAUUCAAAAUAAGCUCAAGGACUGGAAUCAGGAUUCUUAAACAUAUUGUAUAUCAUAGAAGAAGAAUUAAAAGCAUUUAAUAAAUUGAUCAGAUUUUAGAGGACUAAACCUGUGUAUUACAUUUUUUUAAAGUGAUGUUGC
Pelobates cultripes (western spadefoot toad) is the source of this 513-nucleotide non-coding RNA. The record is from the annotation of a GenBank genome assembly. Lineage: Eukaryota; Metazoa; Chordata; Amphibia; Anura; Pelobatidae.